GACACCUUAUUCCAUGCAUGGAUUCAGUAGGACUAGGCUUGAAGUUUCGGGUGCUACUCAGUUAAAGGUUGAGACCCAUGGCACAAUGAGUGUCUGACUCCCGUUAACUUCAAAGUGAAGUAAAGAUGUUCUGUUCGAAGGAGGUGCUCAGUCCCUUGCAGAAGUGGGGUCUUCAUGAUUCCAUUACUGUUUCCGCUGUGUGUGUUCAAUAAAGGAAAAGCUGGUUUGCUUGGAGAAAGUGAAAAGAUGCAAAAAGGUGCAGUGUGCUCAGCAGAGCUGAAUAAUGAACUACAAAUCUCAAUGAAAAGUGACAGUCGUCUGCUAUUGAAGAUCAGGAACUACUGCUGAAAAGCUAAAGCCUAAUAUCACACAGCAGCAAAUUGCGGGGGAACAGGGGUAACCGACAAAGGACACAACCGAACCAAUGAAAUUAAAGUACCAGAGAGGGUAGAACAACAAAUACUGGAAAAAAAGAGACCACAGAAGGAAGAGACAAAGGAGAAGAAAAGGAAGUGCCCUUUCACAGUAUUUUAAUUUAAAAUUACUAACUGAUUGGCGUGAAACCCUUAAGUAAUACCAAUUUGGGCUUUGGAAGGAGAGUUCUUUUAUGACUGUCUUGUUUAGAAUAUAAUUACAGCCUCUCUUGUUAAACUCAAAGUGGCCUCUAAAGCAUCUCUAAAAGAAGGAGAAAACUACAUGUGCCAAAGAGCUAUUCUUCAUUGGCUUUCACAAGGACAGGGAAUAUGAUGAGGAAUUUCACAUGUGCAAUGGUGCAAAUUGAAUUGACUCUGAACAGAGAAGGACCUGCCUGUUAAUGCACAGAGUCCACACACAGCUGGCUUGCCUACUCCCCCUGAAUACGACAAAAUAUAGGGACCUGGUUUGAAAAAGAAAAUGUUGCCAUUAAGGCAUCUCAUUGUCAGGAAAUCACCCUUUCGCCCUCUUUCCCGGAAACAAGCCGCCUUUGUCCUUGUCCCUCAGCUGAGAUGGUAGAAUAGGCAGCACUAAAUUCUGACCCUGUGUAAGCUCAAUGGAGUUGAGCAUCUGCUAAGACCAGGUCAGAAUUUGGCUCAUGGUCACUUCUGAGACCAGCAAUAAUAUCGCUUUUCAGAUUAGCCGGUGGAAGUGAGCAUUGAUGGUGGGUUCACCACCCUUCCCUCAAUGGUAGCGCAAACAGUACUGUCUCCACUGCCCGCAGGAUCCCCUGAGGUCAUUUUUACCUUUGUCAAUGUAACCUGGAGUGUAGUGCUCUUAUUGAGCUGGGAUACUUUUCACAUAUUGAAACCCAGUGCUAUUGACAGAAAUUGUAAUGGACCAUUGACAGAUUGUUUGGGUUUUUUAUGCAAGUGGUAAAAUAAGAUUUGAAAAAGUCACUUUAUCCGUCAUUCCAGAAAACUGACAUUUUAUUACCCACAUGCCUCUCUGUGCAAGGCCAUAAUUCCAUUUCUCUGUAAGGUUUUCUAUACGUUGGAGGGAGCACUGACCAGGGGCCAAUAAGCAAAUUUAUAUAAUGAAUUUAACCUCCCUAACUUGGUCUGAUUGACAGUGUCUUCUCAAAGGAGCUCCAGGGCUGGAAUGCUCAGAGGGUUACAGGUCAACAGUGAGAAAAGUUGGCAGAACUACAUGGAAGGAAUGAUGAUGGAGUGGACUGGCAGACUUCCUCAUGUGCUCUUGGCCUCCAUUAGUAAGCACUAAAAUUUCACUAAACUAACAAAGUAUAUCAGAGGGGGAGAGAAGAGGGGGAAAGACAGUCACUAGCAAAUGAGGAAAAAGUGGCACUUGUUGAGAUGAGUUCAGCGUGGGUAUAUAACUCAGGCCUAUUGGGACAAAUAUACACCUGACUGAACUCCACUGAAAUCAAUGGAGUUACGCGAGGGGUAAAUCUGGCUUCUUUAUGUAAUCAUGAAGAGCUGUAACACGUGGAAUUGAGCUGUCCAUUUGCCAAUAACAGAAAGUACAGAAAUCCUGUGUGAGUAAUUUUUAUGAGGGUGAUAUAACAUGCUGGAAAAAUGCCCUCCCUUUUUGCUGAU
This is a long non-coding RNA of Mauremys reevesii (Reeves's turtle), 2030 nucleotides long. RefSeq lists it as uncharacterized. NCBI's taxonomy places the organism in Eukaryota, Metazoa, Chordata, Testudines, Geoemydidae. The transcript is spliced from 3 exons. The record is from RefSeq and is a predicted model, not a curated record.